GGGAGCUUAGCUCAGCUGGGAGAGCAUCUGCCUUACAAGCAGGGGGUCACAGGUUCGAGUCCUGUAGCUCCCACCA
RNAcentral lists this transfer RNA (76 nucleotides) under Clostridiaceae bacterium. RNAcentral describes it as "tRNA-Val". It matches the Rfam family "tRNA". From Rfam's summary of the family: Transfer RNA (tRNA) molecules are approximately 80 nucleotides in length. Their secondary structure includes four short double-helical elements and three loops (D, anti-codon, and T loops). RNAcentral also lists the same sequence under 1 other name. The record is from RNAcentral. Lineage: Bacteria; Bacillati; Bacillota; Clostridia; Eubacteriales; Clostridiaceae.